This 450-nucleotide ribosomal RNA is filed under the name uncultured bacterium. Its description in RNAcentral is "bacterial SSU rRNA". It matches the Rfam family "Bacterial small subunit ribosomal RNA", at positions 354 to 796 of the family's 1533-position model. The record is from RNAcentral.
GUAGGGAAUCUUCCGCAAUGGACGAAAGUCUGACGGAGCAACGCCGCGUGAGUGAAGAAGGUUUUCGGAUCGUAAAACUCUGUUGUCGGAGAAGAACAAGUAGGAGAGUAACUGUUCCUACCUUGACGGUACCCGACCAGAAAGCCACGGCUAACUACGUGCCAGCAGCCGCGGUAAUACGUAGGUGGCAAGCGUUGUCCGGAUUUAUUGGGCGUAAAGCGAGCGCAGGUGGUUUCUUAAGUCUGAUGUGAAAGCCCACGGCUCAACCGUGGAAGGUCAUUGGAAACUGGGGAACUUGAAUGCAGAAGAGGAGAGUGGAAUUCCAUGUGUAGCGGUGAAAUGCGUAGAUAUAUGGAGGAACACCAGUGGCGAAGGCGACUCUCUGGUCUGUUAUUGACACUGAGGCUCGAAAGCGUGGGGAGCAAACAGGAUUAGAAACCCUUGUAGUCC